UACAUGGGGUGCAAACGUUGCUCGGAAUUAUUGGGCGUAAAGCGCGCGUAGGCGGUUACUCAAGUCGGAUGUGAAAGCCCUCGGCUUAACCGGGAGGGUGGCAUUGAUACUGCGGGGCUAGAGUACAGAUGAGGUAGGCGGAAUUGACGGUGUAGCGGUGAAAUGCUUAGAUAUCGUCAAGAACACCUAUAGCGAAGGCAGCUUACUAGGCUGUAACUGACGCUGAGGCACGAAAGUGUGGGGAUCAAACAGG
RNAcentral lists this ribosomal RNA (253 nucleotides) under uncultured bacterium. RNAcentral's name for it is "partial 16S ribosomal RNA". It matches the Rfam family "Bacterial small subunit ribosomal RNA", at positions 524 to 776 of the family's 1533-position model. The record is from RNAcentral.